UACGGAGGAUGCAAGCGUUAUCCGGAAUGAUUGGGCGUAAAGCGUCCGCAGGUGGCAGUUCAAGUCUGCUGUCAAAGACCGGGGCUUAACUUCGGAAAGGCAGUGGAAACUGAACAGCUAGAGUAUGGUAGGGGCAGAGGGAAUUCCUGGUGUAGCGGUGAAAUGCGUAGAUAUCGUAAGGAAGACCAGUGGCGAAGGCGGAUCUCUGGACAGUUACUGACACUGAGGCACGAAGGCCAGGGGAGCAAACGGG
RNAcentral lists this ribosomal RNA (253 nucleotides) under uncultured bacterium. Its description in RNAcentral is "partial 16S ribosomal RNA". It matches the Rfam family "Bacterial small subunit ribosomal RNA", at positions 524 to 776 of the family's 1533-position model. The record is from RNAcentral.